GACUCACGGCGACUACGGCGCGGAAAGCGCGGUCUGGACUCGGUGACGCCCCGCAGGGCCUCCGGAAUCUCCUGGGAAAAUCACAUAGGGGCGGCACUAGGCACAAGGCCCGAGGCUGAGGCCAGGGCCGCUCCUGCUCCCCCGCGCAGCCAUACCCGUACCAGGCCUCACCUGCACCAGGCGCUUGGGGAAGCGACCGCGGCGGCCCCGCAACUCCCCAAGCAGCCAGCCCCGAGCGGGCCCCGCGCACACCUGCCGGAUCACGUCCCCCGGAGCCAGACUCAGCUCGUCCUCCGUCUGCGCUCGGUAUCUGGCCAGGACCAGGACCUCUACGGGCGGAAGCGAGCUAAGAAAGGCUGUGGGGACGUCCGUGGACUUUGCCCUUCGGAAAGUGUUUAGAAGAACCCACCCCGAACCCCCACACACAUACCCAUGACUUCUGGGGCUCCCUGCGCAGCCUGACCGUCAGGCUGGGCAUUGGGUGCUCGGAGGGCGGGCGAAGCCGCCAGGCGGUAGACUGGAUGUGGAUGAGGCGGAGACUCGAGUCAUAGGUCAGGAUCCAGGUAGUAGGAGUGGGCGGCCUGGCUCAGCAGGUUGGGCCCCAAUUCUUGAAGGAGGAGUCCAGGGUCUCAGCCCAGGGCUGGGGUAACAGCUUCCCCAAGAGCUCUACUUUAGCCAAGUCUCCCAACCUAGGCCAGACUCUAUGUCUUUUAUAACAUUUCCUGGCCCACCCUCUUCUGGCUUGCAAGUUCUUAGCUGCAGGGGAAGGUGGAAGAGGUACAUACCAGGGUGGGGCCAUUCCUGGGAAAGUGGCCCCAGAUAGAGAUACUAGCUCCUGUCUCUGAAAAGCUAUGGCGGGUAUAUUCCAAACUUCAACCCCCCCUGAAGCUUCGACUCACUUGGGGGCCUAGUUGGAUUUCUGAUAACUACUGCAGAUUCUCCUUGGGGAAAGGCAGCAAGAAUCAACUUUUAAUAAGGGCUGGCAAGAGUCUGAAGGUUAGGGUCCACCCAGUUUACCAGUUGGGCUAGGCUCACCUCUUCCUUGUGGGUUAACAUAUAAAGGCCGAGCCAGCUCACUGCAGCCUUGACCCCUGCCCCAGCACCAAGGAAGCCAAAGUCCUGACUUCUGGCAUGGUAGCUAGGUUUGGUUCUUGGAGGAGUCAAAAACACAGAAUGCACAGCCUCCACUGAGAACAAGAAGUCCUUCUUCCCAGAGACGAAAACUAUGGUAUAUUCUAUGGGACCUAUUAACCCAGGGUCACUCACACAAGCAACAAACACAGUCCGUUUACAUCUGCCACUUCAUUUAUUGUUUUUAUUUGCAGGAGGAGUUGAAACAAAAAUUUAAGGGUGUUUUUUUGUUCUCCCCUAAACAUGAAUCAUUCAAGUAAAACCAACAUAACUAUUGAAAUUAGCAAAGUAAAGGGAAGUAUGCACAACAACCCAAGAGCGAAGGCUGGGGAGGGAGGAGGGUGCAGUCGGCGUCCAACAGAUGCGCGCAGGCAGCGGUUCACCUGCUGGGGACCGCUGCCCCGGAAGGCAAGCACAAGGACCCUUUAAUGAGGAUGCCCCCCAACAUCUGAAAAUGUUUCAACCCAAAACGUAAGGUUAAAGAG
This 1616-nucleotide long non-coding RNA is filed under the name Mus musculus (house mouse). RNAcentral describes it as "long non-coding RNA chr4:126162794-126164410". The record is from RNAcentral. Lineage: Eukaryota; Metazoa; Chordata; Mammalia; Rodentia; Muridae.